Molecule: ribosomal RNA, 528 nt
Filed under: Triticum aestivum (bread wheat)
Lineage: Eukaryota; Viridiplantae; Streptophyta; Magnoliopsida; Poales; Poaceae
Description: partial small subunit ribosomal RNA
Source: RNAcentral
GGGUUUAGGCUUAGUAGAACUAAAACCGAGUACAUGAUGUGCGGUUUUAGUACUACUAGGAGUGAGGAGGAGGAGGUUAGCCUUGAUGGCCAGGUGGUACCUCGGAAGGACACCUUUCGGUAUUUGGGGUCUAUCUUGCAGGAGGAUGGGGGUAUUGAUGAAGAUGUGAACCAUCGAAUCAAAGCCGGAUGGAUGAAGUGGCGCCAAGCUUCUGGCAUUCUCUGUGACAAGAGAGGGCCACAAAAGCUAAAAGGCAAGUUCUACAGGACGGCGGUUCGACCCGCAAUGUUGUAUGGCGCGGAGUGUUGGCCGACUAAAAGGCGACAUGUUCAACAGUUAGGUGUGGCGGAGAUGCGUAUGUUGAGAUGGAUGUGUGGCCACACGAGGAAGGAUCGAGUCCGGAAUGAUGAUAUACGAGAUAGAGUUGGGGUAGCACCAAUUGGGGAGAAGCUUGUCCAACAUCGUCUGAGAUGGUUUGGGCAUAUUCAGCGCAGGCCUCCAGAAGCUCCAGUGCAUAGCGGACAGCUA